CGCGCAGCGGUGCCUCAACCCAACCCCAACCCUGCCGCCGCUCCAAUCCCACCACCGGCGGCCUCCUCCUCCCCUAACGCUGCCGCUCCAGCCCCUCACCUUCCUCGGCCGAUUUAGCGCCGUCGCCGCCUCUUCCUCCGGUGGCAUCCAACCCAAUCGUCAUCUCCUACUCCCCUCUCUUAUUCCCCUGUGACUCGAUGAGGUGGGCCAAGCCGGCGCACGCAGCAAAGUGCGGCUGCGGAUGCAGCUCGGACGCGGGUGCGCGGAGGUGGAGGCGGAGCUGCGGCGGCUGGUGGUGGAUGGGAAUCCCGCCGACCGCGUCCCUCCCCAAACUGCAGCGAUGAUGGAGGGAGCCGCCAGCGCCGGCCAGCUACCGACCGACGGGCUCGCCGGGUCGCCGUUCCUCGGGGGCACCCCCUCGCCCCGUGCCAUAUCGUGCAUCGGCUUGGGGGCCCCUCUGGGCUGCCGCCGGUACGGGAGGCGUCCGCGGCCGUGCGGACUAGGGACCGAGCGGUGGGGCUCGUGGUGCGUUUCGGUCGAGGGCUUGCUCGAUCUGGCACGCGAUCUAAGCCCCCGUCGAUGGAUUUCUCGCAGCUCGGCUGCAUUUUGUUUUGGAUUCAGUACGACCCACAUCUCUCUCGCACACACAUGUUGCGGCCGAAAUCACUGUUUUGACUUAUUUGGAAAAGUUCAGCACAAAAUGAACCAUGUUGGAAACAUAUCUGGGGCGAUGAUGAUAAAACAUGGCUGACAUAAACUUGUGUUUGAUUAUUCGAGGACCUGUGGGCAUAAAAAACCCACUCCCUCCUCUUUUGGAACCUUUUUAUUCUCACUGAAUAUUGACGGCUCUCUCUUGGAUGGUCACUCUUUGAGUGAUAACCAGAGGAGCUCGACUUCAGUGGUGGGGAUUGAUCUGGUGCAAGAAGAUGGUGGAGUCGUGGAUCUAGGUUGUAUGAUCUAUCAAAGGCGAAUCUGAGCCCUCUCAAAUCUCAAUGCAACUAAUAUUGUGGCCUCUACACAUUUAUUUACCCCUUUUAUGUUUAAAAGUGAUGAAUUUUUGUGGUUGUGGCAUCUGCUAUCUCAUUAAGAGCAGCUACGCACAUAUGACAUAUCACCUCUCGUGGUGUUUGGUUUGCCUUCUCAUGAUUUUGUUUUCCAUGGUGGGAACCAGUUUGGUGCAUUCAGACUUUUUCUUUUUCUGUUUUUACUUUUCCUUGAAUGGCUGUGAUCAUUCUGCUGUCCCUUGGAUAGUUUAUUUUAGGUUAUUUUAUCGGGUUUGGGUCAGUUUGCUUGUUUCAAUUGUUGUUUUACUUUUUAUAAUAUCUUCUACUAUACUAUUUAUCUACUUAUCAGUUUGUACUUUUGGUUACUCCCCACUUCUUUACUGGUUUCAACUUAUGGGUCAUAUAGGGAAAGUUCAGAUGUCAAGAUAACGCUUUCCUUCCUAUCAUGUUCAUGAAUGGCUAUGAUGAUAUAGCUUUCCUGCAUCGAUCUAACAUCUGUUUGGAUUUUGUAUAUUGAGCAUUUAGGAGGUUGUUCUCGAUUGAUGCGCUUUGUAGUGGCCGAAUUCGUGUUUAAUUUAUUGCAGGAUAUGAAAUUGAGAGGCUGAUGUAAAUUCGUUUGUGUGUAGAUUUUGUCAGUUCUAGGAUUGGAUGUUUAUUUAGUCUCUCUGUCUCUCCUGGAGGUUAGCAGAUUGAUGGAUUUGACUGCUGAUCCCUUUGUGUUGGCUGAUGGUGUUGAGAUAGAAAUAAGGAUUAAACAUGAUCCUGAUGCUGAGGCAAUAUUCCAAUAUCAUUAGAGGGCCAGUGUUCUUCCAAAGAUGAUUUAGAAUCUCAAAAAUGUUUCUUACGUAGUCAGGAAUUUGGGUUCAUGGUUGAAGUAACAAAUACAUAUGCAGCUUCUUGGUUCUGUUGUUUACAAUUCCUUUUUUAGGUAUAUUUACAACCUUUGUUGUUCCAUAUAGUUUGCUUCUUAAAUAUCCUAAACAUAUAUUAUCGAAUACACUCACUUUCCUGUUUUUGUGAUAAAAUGAAAAGAAUAAUGUACAUGUUAAGGACAUGAUAAAUCUUCUUUCAAUUUGGUUAUGAUUUUAGAAUGCUCACAUAUAUUUUCUGUGUUGCAUCACCCCAUGGUCUGUGAUAGUGUCCAACUAGGGAUUUGAAUGUCAGGACCUAGCUAAAACUAUGAUGUUAUCAGGUUAAUAAAUAACACAGUACUGUUUAACUAUUAGGUUCUAUGAGUAUGGCCGGGGUGAAUCCUUCAACUUUGCUCAUAGGCACUGAAAUAAUAAAUAAUUGAUCUUUCAUUUCUUCAUGAAAAAUAUGUCAUUUCGUUUUUAAAGAAAAGUUUAGUAGAACACUGCUAGCUAUAAUUCCCCAUGUGUCUUGGCAUUUUAGGUGGAGUGGGAACCUUUAAGAGGAAGUAUCAAGCGGCACGAGCACCUAUGGUAGAAUGAUGUGUUGAUAGUGUACCUAAUCCACCUGUAUUAACAAUGCAUAUGAUUUUUAAACUCAAGAUUAUAUUAUCAGCUGCAAUCUCUGUUCCCUUUUAAACUCAAGACUUUUAAACAAGAUCAUAUACAUUGUGAACCAAUCAACCAAACAUAGUUGAGUAUACAGUUUAAUUCUGCAAUUUGUUCUACUAGACAAAUUACUGCUGUGUUGAAUCCUUGCUGUGCUGUGCUAAAUUGUUUCCUUAUGUUUGUACCUGCCAGUUCUAACACCUAUUCUUUUCUUCUUAUUUUGUAUCUAUACAUAACAAUUCUAUAUUUCUUACCUCUGCAAUUAUACGACCUGUAGCUUAUUCACAUGGAUCUUAAGGUACUAAACUUCCAAAUUAGAACCUGGCCUAAAUUUGAGAUUUCCCGAAUGUAUACUUUUGUUUUUCUUUCAUUCUUUGGAGGUGAUCUGUUGGUUGCUUAAUGCUCUUUACUGCAUGAGUAAAUUUCUUUUUCUUUAUUUCUAAAGUCAGUUUUAUUUUCUUCGUGAAGGUUUCCUGACGCAAAUAUGUAGUGAAAGCGGUUUGAGAAAAGAAGCAAAUCGUUCGAGCCAACCUAUUUAUAUGGUGUGGAGAAUAUAAGGUUCUUGGCUUAUUGAUAUCAUCUGGUCAUUUUUAUAGGUGCCUGACUACAUAAUGAACUUUCUAGCUGUGUUGAUGACAACAAGAAGAAAAGCUUCUUUGACCAGGUUUGCUAACUUAAUUCAAGCUAUCCUGGUGGACUGACAUCAUACAUCCAGAAUGCCAAAAGGCUUUUGGUAGAUUGCAAGGCAGGAUAAAAUCCAUACGAUGGUUCCACACCUUCAGAUAUGUAACAGCCUUCAGUUUACAUGAUCUGAAAUAGCUCGAGAACUCGGCAUUCAAACCUCGCUGGCGCUGGGCUAGAUGGGCUUGCUGUCUGCCACAUUGCUCAUGGCUCUUGCAUUCACUCAAGAAUCAGGGCAAAGUGUGGAAUGACAACUGUUUUCAGAAGCAAAAAACUUGAAUUGGGAAUGGAACCCUUGAUGGAUUGAUGUUUGCUGAAGAAAGUCCUUGCAGCAAAGAAGAACAUGAAGCAGAUUCAUGGAAUAUAAGUACACGGUAGACUGUAGCAUUGAUCAUUGCUAUCCUGUACAUAUAGUCCAACCAACUGCUCCGAGAGGAACCAAGGCGACGUGCAAGUUGGCGUCUGUGAAGCUUUGUCGGAGCCAUUCCUGCUCUUCCAGAGCCACAAGGAGAGCCUAAAAGUCAGGGCAGAAACGUGUCCGGCUGUCGUACGAGAAGAAGUGUGCACGCCUGAGGAGCCAGGGCGCCAAUGGUGCGGAGUCGUUCGCCAUCAAGAGGACCAAAGCUGCCAUCAGUGACCACCGGAUCAAGCUCAACAUCUCCCUCACCUCUGUCAACGCCCUGUCCCAGAGGGUCGUCGCCGUCCACGAUGAGCCCGCAGCUUGCGGAGCUCAUCCAAAAGCGGGCAAGGAUGUGGCGACUCAUCGGCGACGUGCACCGGGUGAUGUAGUGCAUAGCGGACAAGGCGAGCGUGCUCCUCUGGUUGUCGGCCACAUGGUUGGAGGGAGGCAUCAAGGGCUCGCUGCUACCGGGGCGGACACAUGCACAAUUUAUAUUGAUAUAUCUUAUUUUGCCAAACAGCAAGAUAUAUGCUCCUGAUGCUAUUAACCUGACAUGGAAUUUCAGUUUCUUUCACAUGAUACAUCAAUAAAUAUAUAGAGAUCCAGAUGUGUUGCAUUUCCGCUGGUUUCUUCUAUUAUAAAUGUCAGUUUUUUCA
Long non-coding RNA from Triticum dicoccoides, 4258 nucleotides. RefSeq lists it as uncharacterized. The record is from RefSeq and is a predicted model, not a curated record. NCBI's taxonomy places the organism in Eukaryota, Viridiplantae, Streptophyta, Magnoliopsida, Poales, Poaceae. The transcript is spliced from 9 exons.